RNAcentral lists this ribosomal RNA (887 nucleotides) under Calonectria indusiata. RNAcentral describes it as "eukaryotic LSU rRNA". It matches the Rfam family "Eukaryotic large subunit ribosomal RNA", at positions 58 to 978 of the family's 3401-position model. Lineage: Eukaryota; Fungi; Ascomycota; Sordariomycetes; Hypocreales; Nectriaceae. The record is from RNAcentral.
AAAGAAACCAACAGGGAUUGCCCUAGUAACGGCGAGUGAAGCGGCAACAGCUCAAAUUUGAAAUCUGGCCCUCGGGUCCGAGUUGUAAUUUGUAGAGGAUGCUUUUGGUGAGGUACCUUCCGAGUUCCCUGGAACGGGACGCCAUAGAGGGUGAGAGCCCCGUCUGGUUGGACACCGAGCCUCUGUAAAGCUCCUUCGACGAGUCGAGUAGUUUGGGAAUGCUGCUCUAAAUGGGAGGUAUAUGUCUUCUAAAGCUAAAUACCGGCCAGAGACCGAUAGCGCACAAGUAGAGUGAUCGAAAGAUGAAAAGCACUUUGAAAAGAGAGUUAAAAAGUACGUGAAAUUGUUGAAAGGGAAGCGCUUAUGACCAGACUUGGGCUUGGUUGAUCAUCCUGGGUUCUCCCUGGUGCACUCUUCCAGUUCAGGCCAGCAUCAGUUCGCUGCGGGGGAUAAAAGUUUUGGGAAUGUGGCUCCCUCGGGAGUGUUAUAGCCCAUUGCAUAAUACCCUGCUCCGGACUGAGGUUCGCGCAUCUGCAAGGAUGCUGGCGUAAUGGUCAUCAGCGACCCGUCUUGAAACACGGACCAAGGAGUCGUCUUCGUAUGCGAGUGUUCGGGUGUUAAACCCCUACGCGUAAUGAAAGUGAACGCAGGUGAGAGCUUCGGCGCAUCAUCGACCGAUCCUGAUGUUCUCGGAUGGAUUUGAGUAAGAGCAUACGGGGCCGGACCCGAAAGAAGGUGAACUAUGCCUGUAUAGGGUGAAGCCAGAGGAAACUCUGGUGGAGGCUCGCAGCGGUUCUGACGUGCAAAUCGAUCGUCAAAUAUGGGCAUGGGGCGAAAGACUAAUCGAACCUUCUAGUAGCUGGUUUCCGCCGAAGUUUCCCUCAGGA